CAAUAGCGUAUAUUAAAGUUGUUGCAGUUAAAAAGCUCGUAGUUGGAUUUGUGGCGUACGGUGGGUUCCGGGCACUUGUUGUCUGAGUAACUUGCUGUUGCCAUCCUUGGGUGGAACCUGUGUGGCAUUAGGUUGUCGUGCAGGGGAUGCCCAUCAUUUACUGUGAAAAAAUUAGAGUGUUCAAAGCAGGCUUAUGCCGUUGAAUAUAUUAGCAUGGAAUAAUGAGAUAGGACUUUUUUGCUAUUUUGUUGGUUUGCGCAAAGAGGUAAUGAUUAAUAGGGACAGUUGGGGGUAUUCGUAUUCCAUUGUCAGAGGUGAAAUUCUUGGAUUUUUGGAAGACGAACUACUGCGAAAGCAUUUGCCAAGGAUGUUUUCAUUAA
This 380-nucleotide ribosomal RNA is filed under the name uncultured eukaryote. RNAcentral describes it as "partial 18S ribosomal RNA". It matches the Rfam family "Eukaryotic small subunit ribosomal RNA", at positions 592 to 976 of the family's 1831-position model. The record is from RNAcentral.